This 405-nucleotide long non-coding RNA is filed under the name Aedes aegypti (yellow fever mosquito). Its description in RNAcentral is "lncRNA AAEL027844". The record is from RNAcentral. Lineage: Eukaryota; Metazoa; Arthropoda; Insecta; Diptera; Culicidae.
UGUCUUAUAGUCAAAACCACACAUGUCUUUCAUCUGAAAUGAAACCGAAGCGAAAAAAAAUACGACGUCAACACAGCGGUGCGAAAAUCUCAGUGUCCGUGCUCUUUUGAAAUCCAUUGGUGAAUGCAGUUAUGUAAAACGCAGCGCUAGAAUGAGAAGCAACAACAUUCAACCAGUUCCCGGGCAGCUGCCGACAAAGUAUUCAUUCCUCAAUGUUAGUGAAAAAGGACCAGACCCAAGCCAGAACCAAGGAAAUAAGCCGAAUUCAACGAAUCCGAUGUUUUUGGGAGCUUAUCCAUCGUUUGGGACCUACAACAUCACAUUGCGCAGUGCUCCGAGGUGUUAUCAAUAUAAAGGUGACAAUUAGUGCAAAUCAAGCGUGUGAUAGAAUAAGGGCGUAAAUAA